This is a long non-coding RNA of Lolium perenne, 493 nucleotides long. RefSeq lists it as uncharacterized. Lineage: Eukaryota; Viridiplantae; Streptophyta; Magnoliopsida; Poales; Poaceae. The record is from RefSeq and is a predicted model, not a curated record.
UACUUCGCCGGCGACCGCGAGCUGGUCCGGUCUCCUCUCUGGUGGGGUGGGGGCCGGCGGGCGGAGAACGAGAGGGAAGGAAGGAUGGUGACAAGGCCAGAAGGGGACUGAAUGUGGAAUUUCGUCAUCAGAUUAUAAAGCGUACAGAUUAGGAGAUCGGUGAAGGGGAACUCAAAGAUGAAGGAGUCAACUAUUAUAAGUGCUCGAUCAGCAAAGUCAAUGAAGUCAACUUCUACAUCAAUGAUGGUGAAAACUUAGACUAAGAGUGGGAGGAAACCAAUUCCUUACUCCUAGACCCUAAAUAGCUAGAGUUCAAUUAUAGUUUUUUUAGCAUGCCAAGUAACUCAAUAGGUAGAGCUACUGAUAAAUUUAGUCAACAAGUUAUUCUUAUGGAGUUUUAUUUGUAAUUUUACCUUAUUGUACUUCUAUAGACAUAUCUUGGACCUUCAGUUGUACCACUUUAAAUGAUAAUACUAGUUAAACGGUGUUUUAU